UUAAGUGCAAUGAUAGAGAGAGUAUGUUAGCUCUAAUUGAUACAGGGAGGAUACUGUCAUAGAUUGAGAACAGUCCCAAAUCGCUAACAGAAAUUCACUCUGGAGUAUCUGUGCUGAAGGGGUAACUUGUGUAAGCCAGACGUUAUUUUCUGCGUUAAAGAAGCUGAGUACUAAAUUAGGGUGGUACCGCGGGAGUAAGACUUUCGCCCCUUAG
Molecule: non-coding RNA, 214 nt
Filed under: Pelosinus sp.
Lineage: Bacteria; Bacillati; Bacillota; Negativicutes; Selenomonadales; Sporomusaceae
Description: T-box sequence
Rfam family: T-box leader
About the family: Uncharged tRNA acts as the effector for transcription antitermination of genes in the T-box leader family. T-boxes are found upstream of many aminoacyl-tRNA synthetase genes and some amino acid biosynthetic genes usually in Gram-positive bacteria.
Source: RNAcentral